GACGAACGCUGUCGGCGUGCUUAACACAUGCAAGUCGAACGGAAAGGCCCUGCUUUUGUGGGGUGCUCGAGUGGCGAACGGGUGAGUAACACGUGAGUAACCUGCCCUUGACUUUGGGAUAACUUCAGGAAACUGGGGCUAAUACCGGAUAGGAGCUCCUGCUGCAUGGUGGGGGUUGGAAAGUUUCGGCGGUUGGGGAUGGACUCGCGGCUUAUCAGCUUGUUGGUGGGGUAGUGGCUUACCAAGGCUUUGACGGGUAGCCGGCCUGAGAGGGUGACCGGCCACAUUGGGACUGAGAUACGGCCCAGACUCCUACGGGAGGCAGCAGUGGGGAAUAUUGCACAAUGGGCGGAAGCCUGAUGCAGCAACGCCGCGUGCGGGAUGACGGCCUUCGGGUUGUAAACCGCUUUCGCCUGUGACGAAGCGUGAGUGACGGUAAUGGGUAAAGAAGCACCGGCUAACUACGUGCCAGCAGCCGCGGUGAUACGUAGGGUGCGAGCGUUGUCCGGAUUUAUUGGGCGUAAAGGGCUCGUAGGUGGUUGAUCGCGUCGGAAGUGUAAUCUUGGGGCUUAACCCUGAGCGUGCCUUCGAUACGGGUUGACUUGAGGAAGGUAGGGGAGAAUGGAAUUCCUGGUGGAGCGGUGGAAUGCGCAGAUAUCAGGAGGAACACCAGUGGCGAAGGCGGUUCUCUGGGCCUUUCCUGACGCUGAGGAGCGAAAGCGUGGGGAGCGAACAGGCUUAGAUACCCUGGUAGUCCACGCUGUAAACGGUGGGUACUAGGUGUGGGGUCCAUUCCACGGGUUCCGUGCCGUAGCUAACGCUUUAAGUACCCCGCCUGGGGAGUACGGCCGCAAGGCUAAAACUCAAAGGAAUUGACGGGGCCCCGCACAAGCGGCGGAGCAUGCGGAUUAAUUCGAUGCAACGCGUAGAACCUUACCUGGGUUUGACAUGGAUCGGGAGUGCUCAGAGAUGGGUGUGCCUCUUUUGGGGUCGGUUCACAGGUGGUGCAUGGCUGUCGUCAGCUCGUGUCGUGAGAUGUUGGGUUAAGUCCCGCAACGAGCGCAACCCUUGUUCACUGUUGCCAGCACGUUAUGGUGGGGACUCAGUGGAGACCGCCGGGGUCAACUCGGAGGAAGGUGGGGAUGACGUCAAGUCAUCAUGCCCCUUAUGUCCAGGGCUUCACGCAUGCUACAAUGGCUGGUACAGAGAGUGGCGAGCCUGUGAGGGUGAGCGAAUCUCGGAAAGCCGGUCUCAGUUCGGAUUGGGGUCUGCAACUCGACCUCAUGAAGUCGGAGUCGCUAGUAGUCGCAGAUCAGCAACGCUGCGGUGAAUACGUUCCCGGGGCU
This 1346-nucleotide ribosomal RNA is filed under the name uncultured bacterium. RNAcentral's name for it is "partial 16S ribosomal RNA". It matches the Rfam family "Bacterial small subunit ribosomal RNA", at positions 28 to 1381 of the family's 1533-position model. The record is from RNAcentral.